Molecule: ribosomal RNA, 253 nt
Filed under: uncultured bacterium
Lineage: Bacteria
Description: partial 16S ribosomal RNA
Rfam family: Bacterial small subunit ribosomal RNA
Source: RNAcentral
UACGUAGGGCGCGAGCGUUGUCCGGAAUCAUUGGGCGUAAAGAGCUCGUAGGCGGCCUGUCGCGUCUGCUGUGAAAUCCCGGGGCUUAACCCCGGGCGUGCAGUGGAUACGGGCUGGCUGGAGGCAGGCAGGGGAGAACGGAAUUCCCGGUGUAGCGGUGAAAUGCGCAGAUAUCGGGAGGAACACCUGUGGCGAAAGCGGCGCACUGGACCAUAACUGACGCUGAGGCGCGAAAGCUAGGGGAGCAAACAGG